This 657-nucleotide small RNA is filed under the name Arabidopsis thaliana (thale cress). Its description in RNAcentral is "ATSL154900". The record is from RNAcentral. Lineage: Eukaryota; Viridiplantae; Streptophyta; Magnoliopsida; Brassicales; Brassicaceae.
UUUUUUUUUUUUUGUGUGUGUGUGUGUCAAGUUCAUUUAGUUGGUUGAUCUUCUCAGCUCUAUGACCUCCUAGUAGAUGAUAAUGUUUUAUGUCUGAUUUAACCCGGCAUGACAGGCAGCUAUUUUCCACAUGGCUUUACAAAGUGUUGAUCCUCUAUUCAUCUUUGGAUUUCCAUGACCUGUUCUCGCUUUGUGUCCCUGUUUUAGAUCAGCACAACUCACAAAUAGAUUACAGAUCAAACAUUCCAAUGAACAUUCAUAAAGUACGAAAUUUGCUCUAAUUCAGAGGUUUGAUAAACAAUUCAGCUAGUUGGUUUUUAGUACCCACAUGUUCAAUAGCUAUCAAUUUCUCCUCAACCAGUUUGCGAAUAUAACUAUGUUGAUGAUCUAUGUGCUUAGUACGAGACUUUCUAACAGGUUCUUUGAAACAACUUAUAACACUAUAAUUAUUGCAAAGUAUUAACAGAACAUCAGAAAUCAUACCACACUCCUCUGUGAGUUGUUUCACCCGUAUGAGUUGAGCACUCGAACUUUUUUAAAGCACUGAGUUCUGCUUCAGCAGUUGAUAGGACCAACCUUUUCUGCUUCUUGCUCUUCCAAGACACCAUGUUGUUUCCAAUGAAGUAGCAUCCACCAUGUUGUUUCCAAUGAAGUAGC